CUUCUUCAUAUACCACUUCCUUAGUACUGAUGCAGUAGGCCCAACAGACUCCUGCAUUAACCCUUUACAACUAACAAAGAUUGUAGCUCUUGAGCAUUGUAAACAGAACGUGAGGAAAUAGCAGGCAGAGGGAGAUUUUCAGGUGUCCAACAAGCCCUCAGCAGAUCUUUCACCACUGAAAAGUUUACAUCUUGAUUUCUUAAUAAUUCUUUCCUUUAAAAAUAUUUUUGACUUUAUUCAGAAUAGUUCCCCAGCAGGGACCUGGACUAUAAUACACACUAUAGAACAUCUCAUCGACCAAUUCCAAUUUACUCCCCAGAAGAAAAGUUUUCUCAUAAAUGAAAAAUCAAAGCUUGCCCUAAUUUCUACCUAGCCGCUCCAUUUAAUUUAGCGAGGUGUGCAGACAGGUCAAAGGCUACGCGAGGAACUGCAAGGAUCAAGAUUUUUGAGGGUUGCUAGAAUCUACUCAUUUCAUAGCAGAGCAGAACGAGGGACUAGCGUGGCCUGCAGAAAACCCCUCCCUCAAACUGAAGAACGCACACUAUGGGGGCUAGCUCCCACCGUCUAAAGACUAGUGCUUUUGACAUAUUACGGUAGUUCUCAUUGACCGAAACUGUAGACAGACAUCCUUACCCUACUACAGCCACCAAACAGCUAUGAGGAAAGUACACAUUAACUCUACUGUAAAUGAUUUGUAGACACUUUCGCUAAAUAGAAAAAUCCUUCUAGUAAACCACUGGUAUGCAGAGCAGCGCUCAAUUUAGCAGGCUCGAGAGGGAAAACGGAACCUAAGACUGGGCCGCAAGAACGCCUGGCAUGCAAACACUGAGUAGAAGAGUGACCAGCAAAAAAGAACGAGGAAAAUACCAGAGCGGUAAGAGGGAAGUGCGGAAAGAAGGAUGUCAUGGAAACCAAGGGACGGUGUUUCAAAAUGGAGGGAGUGCCCAAUGGUACGAAAUGCUGCUGAAAGAUCAAAUAAGCUUUUGGUGUCAUAUCCAAGAAACCAUUGUCUAAUCCAAAGAUCAUCAGGAUUUACACCUACAAUUUCCUGAGAGUUUUAUACUUUCAGAUCUUACAUUUAGGUCUAUGAUCCAUUUGAGUUAAUUUUUGUAUAUGGUAUGAAGUAAGGGCAAAAUUCAUUCUUUUGCACGUGGAUAUCUAGUUGUUCCAGCACCAUCUGAUGAAAAGACUAUUCUUUCCCCAUCAAAUGUUUUGGCACCCUUAUCAAAAAUCAAUUUACGGUCAAUAAGUGUAAGAUUUUAUUUUGGGACUCUUUUAAUUCUAUUCCAUUAAUCUAUAUGUCCAGACUUACGCCAGUAAGUCUACUGCCUUGAUUACUGUAGCUUUGUAGUAAACAUUCAAAUCAGGAAGUACAAGUCCUCCAAUGUUAUGGACUGAACUGUAUCCCCUCAAAAUUCGUAUGUUGAAGCCCUAACUCCCAAUGUGAUGGUAUCUGGAGAUGGGGUCUUUGCAAGAUAAUUAGGUUUAGAUGAGGUGAUGAGGGUGGGGCCCUCAUGAUGAGAGUUUGCUCUCUCGCUCUCCACCACGUCAGGACACAGCAAGAAAGCAGCUAUAUGCAAGCUAGGAAGCGUUCUCAACAAAACCCAACCAUGUUGGCUUCUGAUCUGAGACUGCCAGCCUCCAGAGCUAUGAGAAAACAAACUUCUGUCGUUUAAGCCACCCACUCUAUGGCAUUUUGUUAUGGCAGCCUGAGCUGACUAAGACAGAGGUCAUAAGGGUGGCGCAUUAAUCCAGUAAGACUGGUGUUCAUAUAAGAAGAUGAAGAGAUACCAGGAGUGUGCACAAAGGAAAAGCCACGUGAGGACACAGAGAAGGCUGCAAGCCAACAAGAGGGGGGUCUCACCAGAAACUCACCCAGCCAGCAUCAUGAUCUCAGACUUCAGCCUCCAGAACUGUGAGAAAAUAAACUUCCGCUGUUUCAAGCCA
Molecule: long non-coding RNA, 1947 nt
Organism: Equus caballus (horse)
Lineage: Eukaryota; Metazoa; Chordata; Mammalia; Perissodactyla; Equidae
Source: RefSeq, a predicted model, not a curated record